RNAcentral lists this long non-coding RNA (590 nucleotides) under Malus domestica (apple). Its description in RNAcentral is "long non-coding RNA (MDOM_LNC007759)". Lineage: Eukaryota; Viridiplantae; Streptophyta; Magnoliopsida; Rosales; Rosaceae. The record is from RNAcentral.
AAGGCUAGAAAAGUAGGUGCCUCUUCGAUUUCUGAGAUCGGCCCUCGUGGUCUCUGAGCAGCCCAGCUUUUGAGAAAGCGAGCGCCUCUUCGAUUGAUUCGGAGAACGGUGCCUCACCGAUUUUUAAGAAGCAAUCAUGAUGGGGGUCUGGCUCUCGAGAUUCGGGGAGCAGUGUCUCUUCGAUUUUUGAGAAAGUAAUCAUGUUGGGAGAGUGGCUCUCGAGAUUCGGAGGGCGGUGCCUCUUCGAUUUUGGAGCAAGCAAUCUUGUUGGGAGUGUUUUCUCGAAUGUGAGUAAAGGUUGGGCAUGUUUGCUAGUCUACCUUGCCACGAAGCACAGAGGUUGAACACACAGGGACUUUCCAAUUAUCCAGCAAUGGUACUGUUCCUUUACCCCUCUCUUCGAUUUUUAAGAAAGUAGUCAUGUUGGGAGUCUGGCUCUUUAGAUUCGGAGGACGGUGCCUCUUCGAUUUUGGAGCAAGCAAUCUUUUGGGAGUGUUUUCUCGAAUGAGUAAAGGUUGGGCAUGUUUGCUAGUCUACCUUGCCACGAAGCACAGAGGUUGACAUACAUGGACUUUCCAAUUAUCCAGCAG